This 520-nucleotide ribosomal RNA is filed under the name uncultured bacterium. RNAcentral's name for it is "bacterial SSU rRNA". It matches the Rfam family "Bacterial small subunit ribosomal RNA", at positions 501 to 1016 of the family's 1533-position model. The record is from RNAcentral.
CUACGUGCCAGCAGCCGCGGUAAUACGUAGGGCGCGAGCGUUGUCCGGAAUUAUUGGGCGUAAAGAGCUUGUAGGCGGUUUGUCGCGUCUGCUGUGAAAGGCCGGGGCUUAACCCCGUGUAUUGCAGUGGGUACGGGCAGACUAGAGUGCAGUAGGGGAGACUGGAAUUCCUGGUGUAGCGGUGGAAUGCGCAGAUAUCAGGAGGAACACCGAUGGCGAAGGCAGGUCUCUGGGCUGUAACUGACGCUGAGAAGCGAAAGCAUGGGGAGCGAACAGGAUUAGAUACCCUGGUAGUCCAUGCCGUAAACGUUGGGCACUAGGUGUGGGGGACAUUCCACGUUUUCCGCGCCGUAGCUAACGCAUUAAGUGCCCCGCCUGAGGAGUACGGCCGCAAGGCUAAAACUCAAAGAAAUUGACGGGGGCCCGCACAAGCGGCGGAGCAUGCGGAUUAAUUCGAAGCAACGCGAAGAACCUUACCAGGUCUUGACAUCCCUCUGACCGCUCUAGAGAUAGAGUUUUC